CCUCAACUAAACAAGAACAUAAAUGCAAAACGUGUGCCUUCCGCAAUAACAAAUCAAAAAUAGGUACUACUCUUACACAUGUUACAAUGAGUGCAUCUGUCGCCUUUUUACUUCGAAUUGGAGCAUUCCAUAAUUACAUAAUGAAAUCUUAUAAACAUAUGCCUUGGAAAAAAUAUAACACUAUUAUAGAAUGAUAUAAUAAUAUUUCAAAUAUAGCAAUUUAAAAAAAAAGUCAUAAUAUUUAUUGAAAAUAUUUACGAUCCGAUAUCUCACAUUUUACAUAUAGCUGCAGUACAUGAACAUGCAUACCACAGUGAUGCAUUCAAGGUC
This 330-nucleotide long non-coding RNA is filed under the name Mytilus galloprovincialis (Mediterranean mussel). Lineage: Eukaryota; Metazoa; Mollusca; Bivalvia; Mytilida; Mytilidae. The record is from RNAcentral.